Molecule: long non-coding RNA, 737 nt
Organism: Ictalurus punctatus (channel catfish)
Lineage: Eukaryota; Metazoa; Chordata; Actinopteri; Siluriformes; Ictaluridae
Source: Ensembl
UAGCAAGGUUUAGAGAUUAGACAGAGUUGGAGUGCUCUCUCCUUGACACGUCCUGCUAAGCAGUUAUGUCGUUGGGACUUCAGUCUCGGAGCUGACUGUUGACUCGGUGAGCACACACAGCACGAUCGUUUGCAAUCUGGACCGGAUAGGUUGCAUUAUGAAAUCUGUACUGGUUACAUUUUGUCUGGAGUUUAUGAGUUCAGCAAGUCCGCUGGCAGAAUGCGUCGAGCUGAGCUACCUGGGAAUGUUGUCUGUGAUCAAAGGGCAGAUAACAUUCUCACAGCAGGGUUCGAGAAACUCUCAACCGCCACCGGAGAGGAGACAGGUGUUACUUUUCACCGUGUCAUGCCUUGAGGUCUCAGUCUCUAGUUACUGGCUGCGGGCCAAACUUAGACAGGCUAUGUUAAGAACACUUGUGUGUGUGUGAGAGAGAGAGAGAGAGAGAGAGAGAGAGAGAGAGAGAAAGGAGAAUAGAGAGAGAGAGGGAGAGAGAGAGAGAGAGUGAGAGAGAGAGAAAGAGAGAGGGAGAGAGAGAGCGAGAGGGAGAGUGAAAGAGAGAGAAGAGAGAGGGAGAAGGAGAAAUAGAGAGACGAGGAGAGAAGAGAGAGAGGGAGAGAGAGUGAGAGAGAGAGAGAGGGAGAGUGAAGAGAGAGGGAGAGAGAGAGAGAGGGAGGAGGAGAAAUAGAGAGAGAGGGAGAGAGAGAGCGAGAGGGAGAGUGAACAGAGAGGGAGAGAGA